RNAcentral lists this ribosomal RNA (425 nucleotides) under uncultured bacterium. RNAcentral's name for it is "bacterial SSU rRNA". It matches the Rfam family "Bacterial small subunit ribosomal RNA", at positions 354 to 796 of the family's 1533-position model. The record is from RNAcentral.
GUGAGGAAUAUUGGGCAAUGGGCGAAAGCCUGACCCAGCAACGCCGCGUGAAGGAAGACGGUUUUCGGAUUGUAAACUUCUUUUAAGAGGGACGAUAAUGACGGUACCUCUUGAAUAAGCCACGGCUAACUACGUGCCAGCAGCCGCGGUAAUACGUAGGUGGCAAGCGUUGUCCGGAUUUACUGGGUGUAAAGGGCGAGUAGGCGGACCUGCAAGUCAGAUGUGAAAUCCCCGGGCUUAACCCGGGAACUGCAUUUGAAACUGCAGGCCUUGAGUGAUGGAGAGGCAGGCGGAAUUCCCGGUGUAGCGGUGGAAUGCGUAGAUAUCGGGAGGAACACCAGUGGCGAAGGCGGCCUGCUGGACAUUAACUGACGCUGAGGAGCGAAAGCGUGGGGAGCAAACAGGAUUAGAAACCCUAGUAGUCC